GGGGGUCCCAGGUGGGUUUGGGGGGUCCCAGGUGGAUUUUUGGUGUUUUUCACCCCAUUUUUGGGCUGCUUUUCCUCUUUUUUUUUCAUUUUUCACCCCAUUUUUCCCAUUUUUUGCCAUUUUUCCAUUUUUUUCAUUUUUUACCCCAUUUUCCCCAUUUUUUGCCAUUUUCCCCAUUUUUCCAUUUAUUUUCCAUUUCCCACCCCAUUUAUUCCCAUUUUUUUGCCUUUUUUUUGCCUUUAUUUGGCUUUCCCCCCAAAUUUUGGGACGCGGAUUUCGGGUUUCCCCCCAAAUUUCGGGACGCGGAUUUUGGGAUCCGGAUUUUGGGGAUCCCCCAAAUUUUUGGACGCGGAUUUCGGGGAUCUCCCCAGUUUUAUGAUCCGGAUUUUGGGAUCCAGAUUUUGGGACGCGGAUUUUGGGUUUCUCCCAAAUUUUUGGACGCGGAUUUCGGGUUUCCUCCCAAAUUUCGGGAUCCGGAUUUCGGGGAUCCCCCAAAUUUUGGGGUCACUGCUCGCCCUGCCACCAGUGGUAGAGCUGAUCCGUCAGGAUCCCGCCGUAGGUGAGCGCGGCCGCCACGCCCUGCUCGUACGCCGUCCUGGGGGAAAAAAACCCGAUUUUGGCUCAUUUCCCCCAAAAAUGAUGAAUUCGGGGGUGGGAGGGAAAAAAACCCG
This 671-nucleotide long non-coding RNA is filed under the name Lonchura striata (white-rumped munia). RNAcentral's name for it is "domestica (Bengalese finch) lncRNA (ENSLSDG00000003025.1)". Lineage: Eukaryota; Metazoa; Chordata; Aves; Passeriformes; Estrildidae. The record is from RNAcentral.